GAUGAAGAACGCAGCGAAAUGCGAUAAGUAAUGUGAAUUGCAGAAUUCAGUGAAUCAUCGAAUCUUUGAACGCACAUUGCGCCUCCUGGUAUUCCGGGAGGCAUGCCUGUUCGAGCGUCAUUAAAAUCACUCAAGCUUAGGUUUACCUAUUGCUUGGUCUUGGAGAUGGAAGCCAAUUCAUUGGAAUCCUCUUCGAAAUCCAAUGGCGAAGACCCUUGCUCUCCCAAGUGUAGUAAUAACUUAUGUCACUGAAGGAAGCGAGAAAUCUUCCGCCGUAACCCCCAUAUUUUCUAUGAUUGACCUCGGAUCAGGUAGGGAUACCCGCUGAACUUAAGCAUAUCAAUAAGCGGAGGA
Molecule: unclassified non-coding RNA, 354 nt
Filed under: soil metagenome
Description: partial contains 5.8S ribosomal RNA, internal transcribed spacer 2, and large subunit ribosomal RNA
Rfam family: 5.8S ribosomal RNA (bases 1-120)
Source: RNAcentral